RNAcentral lists this unclassified non-coding RNA (351 nucleotides) under Melaleuca foliolosa. The record is from RNAcentral. Lineage: Eukaryota; Viridiplantae; Streptophyta; Magnoliopsida; Myrtales; Myrtaceae.
CAUUUUUCCUUUUUCCUUUUUGUUUGCGACGGGUUUGUUCGGCAACCUGCCCUCGCGUCGCGUCACGGCAUUUGAACCACGGCGUGGGGCUCGGAAAGAGCUUUCCGAACAGUACUCACGGGUCUCGUGAGUCCAUCGGGAUCGAAAGUUAGGCACGUGAAGGCAAAGGCGCGUGAAUUUCGCUUGUUGAGAAAUUCUCUCCGUCGUGUUCCGUCGCGCGUAAGUAGCACUGUGGUAAUUGCUCGGGAAUUGGGAGACGGGCGAUCGAGAGCCGGAAGUUUGAACGUUCCGGACAUUUCUCGAGGAGAGAGAGCGAUUCGCUUUAAGUAAAUUUACAGCGCAUGACAUGAC